Molecule: long non-coding RNA, 633 nt
Organism: Homo sapiens (human)
Lineage: Eukaryota; Metazoa; Chordata; Mammalia; Primates; Hominidae
Gene: DARS1-AS1
Product: DARS1 antisense RNA 1
Source: Ensembl
ACAUGGAAUAAACUUGACAAGUGCUAAAGAUGCUCUUUGAUUUUUGUGUGGCAUGAGACCUCAGGCUGAAACUUCUCAUCUGAGCCAUUGAAGGGAGCCUCUCAUCUCUCCACCGAGAGGGGAGACCAGAAUGACUGUAUCCACAGAGCGGUGCUCUUGCCUUGAAAGGAAGGAUUUGCCCCGGUUUGGAAGGAAGUGGAAUAAAUAGAACUGGAAAUGGCUCCUUCAGGCACAUUCUGUUGGGCUUCCCUCUACCUCCCCACUCUGCUGCUUCCCCGCUCUUUUUGAAUUUCUCCCUGUUGAGGAGAGGGAAGACCAGCUAGGAGAGGAUCUGGAUUGAGAAACUUGCCAUGCUUUUCUCUCAGAUGUUCUCUUUUCUCUGAAGACAGCAGGACCUCAUCCAAAGCUCUGUUUCUGGCAGGAAUCUGACACCACUUACUCCUUGGGUAGAAACUCCCCCAAGUCUGAACUAUGUGAUUGCCUGAGCCCUGCUUCUUGUUCAUUAAGACUGCUCCUCUGAAACGGAAUUGAUGAAUUUUUAGUGGCUAUUAGAAGCAUUUGGGAUCCAUAGGCAUCAGGGUUUGAUGCAUGGCCCUCAUCUCUGUGGGCUCCUGUGCAAUGAUUCUCAUCUGU